RNAcentral lists this non-coding RNA (31 nucleotides) under Mus musculus (house mouse). The record is from RNAcentral. Lineage: Eukaryota; Metazoa; Chordata; Mammalia; Rodentia; Muridae.
UUGGUGCGCGUUAAUUUAAACAAAUCUCCUA